CUCAGUAUUUUUCAGUGCUGUACAAGCGUCUUGAAUUACUCUGGUAGCUUUUCCAGAAAGACCCAUGACUUCACCACAUUUCUCGAGUUACGAUGAAGGUCCUCUGGAUGUCAGCAUGGCAGCCACAAACCUGGAGAACCAGCUGCACAGCGCACAGAAGAACCUCCUGUUCCUUCAGCGGGAGCAUGCCAGCACGCUCAAGGGGCUGCACUCCGAGAUCAGGCGGCUGCAGCAGCACUGCACAGAUUUAACAUAUGAGCUGACAGUCAAAAGUUCGGAACAGACAGGGAAAUGUUUCCUAAUCACAACAGAAGAGAAGCAAGCAGCCAUUGUACCACUAACACAAAGCAAGCAACUCUGCUUCGACUUCUCCCACUUUUGGGAAAAGUCCACUUUUCAAGAAGGAGACUGGAAACAGGAAGUGGCCCAGGCUUGCCCUCGUCACCGCCAGUGACACCAACCAGGCGCUCAGUGCAGCAUCCAGCUUCCAGCCUCAGGAUGGCCCCGAGACAGAGGCUGGCUGCUCCGAUUUCAACCAGAGCCAUUUCUGAGGCUGGAAUGAUCAACUGGAAUAGUGAAAAAUGCAGUGCUGUUGGAAGCCAAGUUUUAAGGAGAAUUUUUGUUAUUGUUUGUUUCAACAGACAAACUUAUAUACAUGUAUCAUGUGGGCAAGGAGAUGGGAGGAAUGAAGCUAGGCAAAUUCAUUACCUUUUAAAAAGAAAUCUAGUUCUUCUUGAGGGACUCUCCCUUCUGCUUGUUCUAUCUUGAUGGUCAUAUUAAAAGAAAAGAGUAGCUUGUGCCUCUCAAACAGCCCUGGAGGGAAACAUCAGAUGAGUAUUGAUUUCUUAAAAUUCAUUUUUAAAAAACUGAGUUUCUUAUGCACACUGUGCUUAAACGUAAGAUAAAUGAAACACUCGAACUGUAUGGCUGCAUUUACCCCUCUUUGCACCUAAUGUCCAUGAAUAUCUAAGUUCAAGAGAGAUGAGCUCAGUUCCUAGGUCAUGCCCCAGUCUGUAGUGACAUGCUCCUGUAUGUAACGGAAAUGGCCAUGUCUACAGGAGGUAAAAUCACACCAACCUGGGAAGAGGAAAAGCCAGUGAGGGGCAGUACAGCAGGGGCAGCCCUCUCCACUGAAGGCAGGUUGUUUGCCUGACUCCAUGGCAUUUGUGUCCAUUAGAGUCUAGAAGAGGUGUUGGCAAACUUUCUACAAAGGGCCAGAUAGUAAAUAUUUUUGGCUUUGGAAGCUAGAUGGUCUCUGUCAUAACCACUCAACUCCGCCAUUGUAGUGCAAAAGCAACCAUAGACAAUAUGUAUACAAAUGGAUAUGGCCCUGUUCCAAUAAAACUUUAUUUACAAAAGCAGGCAGUGGGCCAGAUUUGGAUGCUGGCUAGGGGGUUGCCAACCUCUAUUGCAGAGGACACACACUCCAUCAACAGACUCUUUAUUAAUGGAUGCAAAAUACCAGCGUUCUUCUUUUUUGCUUUUUAACAGAAGACAUGUGUUCCUGGAAAAAAAAAUUGUUUAAGUCAAAAUUUGUAAUUUGAAUUCUACUUUAUAUGUGUUAGGAGGGUUGGCUACUUAAGUGAGCCCUAUAGAAACAAUCUCUUUUCUGCCCAACUGUUAAGGGCUAAAUUAUAUUUCUCCAAACUUCCUA
RNAcentral lists this unclassified non-coding RNA (1654 nucleotides) under Homo sapiens (human). RNAcentral describes it as "coiled-coil domain containing 92 (ENSG00000275035.2)". The record is from RNAcentral. Lineage: Eukaryota; Metazoa; Chordata; Mammalia; Primates; Hominidae.